This 865-nucleotide ribosomal RNA is filed under the name uncultured Pasteurellaceae bacterium. Its description in RNAcentral is "bacterial SSU rRNA". It matches the Rfam family "Bacterial small subunit ribosomal RNA", at positions 67 to 922 of the family's 1533-position model. The record is from RNAcentral. Lineage: Bacteria; Pseudomonadati; Pseudomonadota; Gammaproteobacteria; Pasteurellales; Pasteurellaceae.
CGGUAACAGGCAAGAGCUUGCUCUUGUGCUGACGAGUGGCGGACGGGUGAGUAAUGCUUGGGAAUCUGGCUUAUGGAGGGGGAUAACUGCGGGAAACUGCAGCUAAUACCGCGUAGUAUCGGAAGAUGAAAGUACGGGACCUUAGGGCCGUAUGCCAUAGGAUGAGCCCAAGUGGGAUUAGGUAGUUGGUGGGGUAAAGGCCUACCAAGCCUGCGAUCUCUAGCUGGUCUGAGAGGAUGACCAGCCACACUGGAACUGAGACACGGUCCAGACUCCUACGGGAGGCAGCAGUGGGGAAUAUUGCGCAAUGGGGGCAACCCUGACGCAGCCAUGCCGCGUGAAUGAAGAAGGCCUUCGGGUUGUAAAGUUCUUUCGGUGACGAGGAAGGCAUUUAGUUUAAUAGACUAAGUGAUUGACGUUAAUCACAGAAGAAGCACCGGCUAACUCCGUGCCAGCAGCCGCGGUAAUACGGAGGGUGCGAGCGUUAAUCGGAAUAACUGGGCGUAAAGGGCACGCAGGCGGAUUUUUAAGUGAGGUGUGAAAGCCCCGGGCUUAACCUGGGAAUUGCAUUUCAGACUGGGGAUCUAGAGUACUUUAGGGAGGGGUAGAAUUCCACGUGUAGCGGUGAAAUGCGUAGAGAUGUGGAGGAAUACCGAAGGCGAAGGCAGCCCCUUGGGAAUGUACUGACGCUCAUGUGCGAAAGCGUGGGGAGCAAACAGGAUUAGAUACCCUGGUAGUCCACGCUGUAAACGCUGUCGAUUUGGGGGUUGGGCUUUAAGCUUGGCGCCCGUAGCUAACGUGAUAAAUCGACCGCCUGGGGGAGUACGGCCGCAAGGUUAAAACUCAAAUGAAUUGACGGGGGCCC